UCCGUCUACGAAGCCGUUUCCGGGUCACGUGCACCCGUUUCCGGCGCCGAACGGUGGAGUGGCGCAGCCCGCCCGUUUUGUAGUGGGGGGCGGGGGGAGGUGGGGGGGGAGAUCCGGGAGCCGGUUUCCCCGUUCGGCUCACCCCGCCUCCUCCCUCCAGCCCCCCGCCCCGGAUCCCCGGGCUCCUCCCUCGGCCGGCCCCCGGGGCGGGGCCUCCCCCGCCCCGCUCCCCUCUCCUCUCUCUCCGUCCCCACGCCCCGCCUGCUUGGCUCCCAGACGCUCGGAGGGGGCUUUUCACUUGGCGGCUGCUGCGGGCUCUGGGAGCUGCGGGCGGCGGCGGCGCUUCCCUCCUGUCUGCGGCCACAAUGCAGUUUAUGUUGCUUUUUAGUCGUCAGGGAAAGCUCCGACUCCAGAAAUGGUAUGUCCCACUAUCGGACAAAGAAAAGAAAAAAAUCACAAGAGAACUUGUUCAAACAGUUUUAGCCCGUAAACCCAAAAUGUGCAGCUUUUUGGAGUGGCGAGAUCUGAAGAUUGUCUACAAAAGAUAUGCUAGCCUGUAUUUCUGCUGUGCUAUUGAAGAUCAGGAUAAUGAACUAAUUACCUUGGAAAUAAUUCAUCGUUACGUUGAACUACUUGACAAAUAUUUUGGCAGUGUGUGUGAACUUGAUAUCAUCUUUAAUUUUGAGAAAGCUUAUUUUAUUCUGGAUGAAUUUCUUUUGGGAGGAGAAGUUCAGGAAACAUCCAAGAAAAAUGUACUUAAAGCCAUUGAACAGGCAGAUCUUCUCCAAGAGAACCAGAAUGAAGACUGGGGAGGUUUGUCUGACGAUAUCUUAUGAUUAAGAACAAUAUAAGGCUUUAGUUUCCCUUCACCCCCACCCUAAUUAUUGGAAGCUGAAACCCCACGUAGUGUUCUUGAAGAAAUUGGACUGACAUAAGCCAUCUCCCAUGUUGAUGACAUCAUGUGGUCUCACAUACUGUAGAUGUUCACUGCCUUCAUGUCAAUGUUUAGCUAAUGGUGUAAGAUGCUGUUUGUCAGUAUUACUGUUUUGCUAAGCCGCUUCAUUCAGGCCUACAUAAAAACACUCCACUUUUUCAAAAGGGAAUAAAAAGUAUUAGCUUUUUUUUAAAGGGACUUAAGUUAACUAAAACUUGAUGCAGAAGAAAUAUCUUUUCAGUAUUCUCAAAGGUCGAAUUAUGUCAGUUUCCCAUUAAUUUUAUUUGUAUGUGAUAAUUAUGAAUAUACACGUAAAAUCACAAUCGGGAAGCACAUUUGUUGCUAUUACUGCAUUCAACUGAAAGGAAGCUACACUUGUAUCAACUUAAAAGUAAAUGUAAUAAUGUUUCAAUAUGGUUAUUUGCAACCAAAGACUAGUGUUACAUUUCAGUAUUUAUGGGAAUGAGAAAAAUUUGACUGAUUUUACAUAUCAAAAUGAUUUAAAUUUUAACAUUACCGCUGAAACUUAAAACACACAUAUGUAUACCAAAGAUACUUAUUUGGGAAUUACAUAUCUUGAACUGGUAGCUUAUUGAAAAAUACACAUUUCUGAGACUAAAGGGAUGUUACAUUAAAGGGAAUACAGGUUACUUUAAUCAAAACAAUUGUUUUACAUUGACUAUUAGUUGAAGGCAGGACUUUGGACUGAAGAGACUAUACUCCCAUAUGAGCACAUAAUGUACACUAUGAAAAUGGUUAAAGACAUUUUUUUCUAUGUAAGAUUCCUUUAAGCAUAAUUUUACAACUUAAAUGGAUUAUUUUUAUGCCCCCAGAUAUAUGGAUACUGCCACUAUUUAGCUCAUUUCUCCAUAAGCUAAGGAAAACAUCUACUUAUGUAAGAUGUUAUAAAUUAGAAUACUGAUUUGCCUAGUAUUGCUAUCUCAAAUAAACCUCAGCUCUGUUCACGAAUUAUCACAUGCCUAAGUUUGCUCCACUGUUGCCCUGGUUAACUAAAUUUUCCCAAUACUUUUUUAUGAAGUACCACUAUUUUAUGACAUUUUUCUCCUUUCAUGCCAUCUCCUAGUCAGAAAAUAUUCACCAUAUAUGUAGAUAUAUAUAUAUAUAUAUAUAUCACGUAAAAAUGUUAGCUGGAUGAGGUAAAAUGGCAAUGGGGGACUUAUUUUUUAAAGCUGUUACAAUUCAGUUUCAAUACCAUUUUCACAUGUAUUUAACAUGUCUUCAAAGUUUACACUUUCACUUGUUUGUAUGUGCUUGGCUGGAUUAAGCUUUGUUAUUGUGACCAAUAUUUAGGCUGUGAUCAUUGUCUUAUCACAUAUAUUAGUUAUAAUAAAUGUCCACUCUUACACCAUUGCAGUGUGUUUAUCUGUAUCACAAGGUUUGUUAGUAGAGAGCUUCUGGAAAGAGAGAUUCCACUGAGACAUAAAUAUGCUAAGCGUCAUUACUAAAAUGGAAAAAGUUAAACCUCAUUAAAUGUUAUUUUUACAAGUGAA
Molecule: RNA transcript, 2445 nt
Organism: Trichosurus vulpecula (common brushtail)
Lineage: Eukaryota; Metazoa; Chordata; Mammalia; Diprotodontia; Phalangeridae
Gene: AP1S2
Gene name: adaptor related protein complex 1 subunit sigma 2
Exons: 6
Source: RefSeq, a predicted model, not a curated record